RNAcentral lists this ribosomal RNA (638 nucleotides) under Bacillus thuringiensis. RNAcentral's name for it is "bacterial SSU rRNA". It matches the Rfam family "Bacterial small subunit ribosomal RNA", at positions 44 to 665 of the family's 1533-position model. Lineage: Bacteria; Bacillati; Bacillota; Bacilli; Caryophanales; Bacillaceae. The record is from RNAcentral.
AUGCUAUACAUGCAGUCGAGCGAAUGGAUUGAGAGCUUGCUCUCAAGAAGUUAGCGGCGGACGGGUGAGUAACACGUGGGUAACCUGCCCAUAAGACUGGGAUAACUCCGGGAAACCGGGGCUAAUACCGGAUAAUAUUUUGAACUGCAUGGUUCGAAAUUGAAAGGCGGCUUCGGCUGUCACUUAUGGAUGGACCCGCGUCGCAUUAGCUAGUUGGUGAGGUAACGGCUCACCAAGGCAACGAUGCGUAGCCGACCUGAGAGGGUGAUCGGCCACACUGGGACUGAGACACGGCCCAGACUCCUACGGGAGGCAGCAGUAGGGAAUCUUCCGCAAUGGACGAAAGUCUGACGGAGCAACGCCGCGUGAGUGAUGAAGGCUUUCGGGUCGUAAAACUCUGUUGUUAGGGAAGAACAAGUGCUAGUUGAAUAAGCUGGCACCUUGACGGUACCUAACCAGAAAGCCACGGCUAACUACGUGCCAGCAGCCGCGGUAAUACGUAGGUGGCAAGCGUUAUCCGGAAUUAUUGGGCGUAAAGCGCGCGCAGGUGGUUUCUUAAGUCUGAUGUGAAAGCCCACGGCUCAACCGUGGAGGGUCAUUGGAAACUGGGAGACUUGAGUGCAGAAGAGGAAAGUGGA